Molecule: ribosomal RNA, 424 nt
Filed under: uncultured bacterium
Lineage: Bacteria
Description: bacterial SSU rRNA
Rfam family: Bacterial small subunit ribosomal RNA
Source: RNAcentral
GAAUAUUGGACAAUGGGCGAAAGCCUGAUCCAGCCAUGCCGCGUGGGUGAAGAAGGCCUUCGGGUUGUAAAGCCCUUUUGUUGGGGAAGAACUCCUGCUGGCUAAUACCCGGCGGGGAUGACGGUACCCAACGACUAAGCACCGGCUACCUUCGUUCCAGCAGCCGCGGUAAUACGCGGGGUGCAAGCGUUAGUCGGAAUUACUGGGCGUAAAGCGUGCGUAGGUGGUGGCUUAAGUCCGUUGUGAAAGCCCUGGGCUCAACCUGGGAAUUGCAGUGGAUACUGGGUCACUAGAGUGUGGUAGAGGGUGGCGGAAUUCCCGGUGUAGCAGUGAAAUGCGUAGAGAUCGGGAGGAACACCCGUGGCGAAGGCGGCCACCUGGGCCAACACUGACACUGAGGCACGAAAGCGUGGGGAGCAAACAG